Long non-coding RNA from Armigeres subalbatus, 763 nucleotides. RefSeq lists it as uncharacterized. The transcript has 4 exons. NCBI's taxonomy places the organism in Eukaryota, Metazoa, Arthropoda, Insecta, Diptera, Culicidae. The record is from RefSeq and is a predicted model, not a curated record.
UAAUUCUCAGCGUGUAAUGUUUUGUUUUGCUGUUGGUGAAAAUCGAAAGAAAACAAACAUGCAGAAUGUUUCCUUUUUGCUGCUUUCCGUUUCGUUAGGGGAUUCUGCUAGAGAAUUUCGUGUGUACAAAUAGCCGCUGUGCCGUAUAUUGAAGCUGACUGAAAACUGUAGCCUGCCUUAAAAUGCAUCUAAAUGCUAUGUGGUUAUAAGCAGCAGGUUCCAGAACUCGUCCAUAAUGAGAAUGGAACUUAUCUCGGUCUGCACCUUGGUCUGCACAGGCACUCAGCAGAAGCAGAACAUCUUUAUUGGAAUUGACCGCAACUUAGCAGCUCAUCCUGCUUCCCUUGCCAGUUAUCGAGUCGGGCUUCCGGGACAACAGCAAGCUAAUGGAAUAACAACCGAUAUUCAAAAGUCAUACAGCCAACCAGGACCAUGCCACCAGAAACUGUUCGGCAAUAUUUUGCGGUGUGAUUCCUCUGGAGACAAGAUCCGCAGGAUUUUGAACAUCUGGAACGUGGUACCACUAGAAACCUUCCGUUGAACGUUGAACAUUUGCGCACCUGUUUCUAACAUUCGUGCUCCAGGAGGAUGUCUUAGUUGCUAUCCACCGUUACACACAAGUAGAGUCCGUCCAGAAAUGUGCAGGUAAUGAGAGUCUGAUGGCCUUCUUCACCUUGUCAUACAUCUCCGCAGCCAAUAGUGCACCACACAACUUUAACCUCGAGAUUGUUUGGCGCUUUAACUGCGCAGCAUUCGAUUUUGA